UAGAUGCGAGAGUAGAGCAUAUCAAUAAGCGGAGGAAAAGAAACUAACAAGGAUUCCCUUAGUAACGGCGAGUGAAGCGGGAAGAGCUCAAAUUUGAAAUCUUCAAGGUUCUACCUUGACGAAUUGUAGUUUAUAGAAGUGUUUUCUGUUAGUGGAGUGGCAAAAGUUCUUUGGAAUAGGACAUCAUAGAGGGUGAGAAUCCCGUAUUUGGUCAUUCCUCCUAGCGUUGUGAUACACUUUCAACGAGUCGGAUUGUUUGGGAAUGCAGUCCAAAAUGGGUGGUAAAUUUCAUCUAAAGCUAAAUAUUGGCGAGAGACCGAUAGCGAACAAGUACCGUGAGGGAAAGAUGAAAAGAACUUUGAAAAGAGAGUUAAACAGUACGUGAAAUUGUCAAAAGGGAAGCGUUUGACACCAGUGUUGUUUUUCCGAAAAUCAAUUACGAAUGUUUUAUUUUUGAGGAGUUAUGACCUCAUCGGCUUGCUCCUUUCUUUAUGAAACUUUCUUAAUGCACUUUUCGGUUAACAAGUCAACAUCAAUUUCUUUUGUUGUAAAAGGGUAUGAGGAAGGUAGCUUUCUUUUCGGAGAAAGUGUUUAUAGCCUUGUGCCUCUGCAAUCGGAGAGAUUGAGGUCUGCAGCGUAGAUCCUACGGGGUUAGAUACAGUUUGUGCUAAGUUAUAGCUUUUCAUAGACAACUUGUUGACUAUGUUUAGUCUUGUAGCUUACUCGCUUAUGCUAUUUUACCUACGCUUAGGAUGUUGACGAGACUGUCGAUCUC
Molecule: ribosomal RNA, 775 nt
Filed under: uncultured Neocallimastigales
Lineage: Eukaryota; Fungi; Neocallimastigomycota; Neocallimastigomycetes; Neocallimastigales
Description: partial large subunit ribosomal RNA
Rfam family: Eukaryotic large subunit ribosomal RNA
Source: RNAcentral